This 253-nucleotide ribosomal RNA is filed under the name uncultured bacterium. RNAcentral describes it as "partial 16S ribosomal RNA". It matches the Rfam family "Bacterial small subunit ribosomal RNA", at positions 524 to 776 of the family's 1533-position model. The record is from RNAcentral.
UACAGAGGGGGCAAGCGUUGUUCGGAAUUACUGGGCGUAAAGGGCGCGUAGGCGGCCUGUUAAGUCGAACGUGAAAUCCCUGGGCUCAACCCAGGAACUGCGUCCGAUACUGGCAGGCUUGAAUCCGGGAGAGGGAUGUGGAAUUCCAGGUGUAGCGGUGAAAUGCGUAGAUAUCUGGAGGAACACCGGUGGCGAAGGCGGCUUGCCAGAAUGCGCUCGACGGUGAGGGAUGAAAGCUGGGGGAGCAAACCGG